GAUGAAGAACGCAGCGAAAUGCGAUAAGUAGUGUGAAUUGCAGAAUUCAGUGAAUCAUCGAAUCUUUGAACGAACAUUGCGCCCUUUGGUAUUCCUUAGGGCAUGCCUGUUCGAGCGUCAUUUAAACCUUCAAGCUAAGCUUGGUGUUGGGUGACUGUCCGCCUCACGGCGGACUCGCCUCAAAAUUAUUGGCGGCCGGUACAUUGGCUUCGAGCGCAGCAGAAACGCGAACUCGGGCCCGUCGUAUUGGCUCCCAGAAGCUAUCUUCACAAUUUUGACCUCGGAUCAGGUAGGGAUACCCGCUGAACUUAAGCAUAUCAAUAAGCGGAGGA
Molecule: unclassified non-coding RNA, 332 nt
Filed under: soil metagenome
Description: partial contains 5.8S ribosomal RNA, internal transcribed spacer 2, and large subunit ribosomal RNA
Rfam family: 5.8S ribosomal RNA (bases 1-120)
Source: RNAcentral